RNAcentral lists this ribosomal RNA (30 nucleotides) under Phaeosphaeria sp. EF-17. RNAcentral describes it as "partial 18S ribosomal RNA". The record is from RNAcentral. Lineage: Eukaryota; Fungi; Ascomycota; Dothideomycetes; Pleosporales; Phaeosphaeriaceae.
UUGGGUUUUAGUCUUUUACUCCCCGUCAUG